Molecule: ribosomal RNA, 522 nt
Filed under: uncultured bacterium
Lineage: Bacteria
Description: bacterial SSU rRNA
Rfam family: Bacterial small subunit ribosomal RNA
Source: RNAcentral
CUACGUGCCAGCAGCCGCGGUAAUACGGAGGGUGCGAGCGUUAAUCGGAAUAACUGGGCGUAAAGGGCACGCAGGCGGUGACUUAAGUGAGAUGUGAAAGCCCCGAGCUUAACUUGGGAAUUGCAUUUCAUACUGGGUCGCUAGAGUACUUUAGGGAGGGGUAGAAUUCCACGUGUAGCGGUGAAAUGCGUAGAGAUGUGGAGGAAUACCGAAGGCGAAGGCAGCCCCUUGGGAAUGUACUGACGCUCAUGUGCGAAAGCGUGGGGAGCAAACAGGAUUAGAUACCCUGGUAGUCCACGCUGUAAACGAUGUCGAUUUGGGGAUUGGGCUUUGAGCUUGGUGCCCGUAGCUAACGUGAUAAAUCGACCGCCUGGGGAGUACGGCCGCAAGGUUAAAACUCAAAUGAAUUGACGGGGGCCCGCACAAGCGGUGGAGCAUGUGGUUUAAUUCGAUGCAACGCGAAGAACCUUACCUACUCUUGACAUCCAUGGAAUUCUGUAGAGAUACGGGAGUGCUUCGGGA